GAUGGUGUGCCCGAUUGGAAAAGGGGAUGGACUUAAGAUCCAUUGGCAAUUGCCUUAGUGGGAUCGAUACCCACCACCAUCA
Molecule: transfer RNA, 82 nt
Filed under: Marseillevirus LCMAC102
Lineage: Varidnaviria; Bamfordvirae; Nucleocytoviricota; Megaviricetes; Pimascovirales; Marseilleviridae
Description: tRNA-Leu
Rfam family: tRNA
About the family: Transfer RNA (tRNA) molecules are approximately 80 nucleotides in length.
Source: RNAcentral